Molecule: ribosomal RNA, 739 nt
Filed under: uncultured Inocybe
Lineage: Eukaryota; Fungi; Basidiomycota; Agaricomycetes; Agaricales; Cortinariaceae
Description: eukaryotic LSU rRNA
Rfam family: 5.8S ribosomal RNA (bases 326-479)
Source: RNAcentral
UUUAGAGGAAGUAAAAGUCGUAACAAGGUUUCCGUAGGUGAACCUGCGGAAGGAUCAUUAUCGAAUAAACUUGAACAGGCUGUUGCUGACCCCCCUAGGGUGUGUAUGUGCACGCUUGUCAUCUUUAUCAUUUCUCCAACUGUGCACAUAUUGUAGACCCUUGGAAAGCUUUUUGAAUUUAUUUUCGAGUUGGGACUGCUGUGCUUUUGAUCAAAGUCAGCUUUGCCCUUUGCAUUUCCAGGUCUAUGUCAUUUUUCACAAACCUCUUGAUGCGUUUAGAAUGUGUUGAAUCAGGUCAAUUUGUACCUAUAAAGUUUAAAUAUACAACUUUCAGCAACGGAUCUCUUGGCUCUCGCAUCGAUGAAGAACGCAGCGAAAUGCGAUAAGUAAUGUGAAUUGCAGAAUUCAGUGAAUCAUCGAAUCUUUGAACGCAUCUUGCGCUCCUUGGUAUUCCGAGGAGCAUGCCUGUUUGAGUGUCAUUCAACUUCUCUCAACUACAUCAAUCAGUCUGAUGUGGCUUGGAUGUGGGGGGAUUUUCUUUGCAGGCUUUUUUGAAUGAAGUCUGCUCCCCUGAAAUACAUUAGUGGUGUCUGAGCUGCUGCUAUAGGUGUGAUAAUUAUCUACGCCUUAUGCUAGGUUGGUUGCGCUGCUUCUAACAAAAAAGACCUACAAUUUUAUUAUUGUUUGACAAAUUUGACCUCAAAUCAGGUAGGACUACCCGCUGAACUUAAGCAUAUCA